GAAGCGGCAAUAGCUCAAAUUUGAAAUCUGGCACUUUCAGUGUCCGAGUUGUAAUUUGAAGAAGGUAUCUUUGGGUCUAGCUCUUGUCUAUGUUUCUUGGAACAGAACGUCACAGAGGGUGAGAAUCCCGUGCGAUGAGAUGUCUAGAUCUAUGUAAAGUUCCUUCGAAGAGUCGAGUUGUUUGGGAAUGCAGCUCUAAGUGGGUGGUAAAUUCCAUCUAAAGCUAAAUAUUGGCGAGAGACCGAUAGCGAACAAGUACAGUGAUGGAAAGAUGAAAAGAACUUUGAAAAGAGAGUGAAAAAGUACGUGAAAUUGUUGAAAGGGAAGGGCUUGAGAUCAGACUUGGUAUUUUGUAUGUUACUCUCUCGGGGGUGGCCUCUACAGUUUACCGGGCCAGCAUCAGUUUGAGCGGUAGGAGAAUUGCGUAGGAAUGUGGCUCGGCCUCGGUCGAGUGUUAUAGCCUUCGUCGAUACUGCCAGCUUAGACUGAGGACUGCGGCUUCGGCCUAGGAUGUUGGCAUAAUGAUCUUAAGUCGCCCGUCUUGA
Molecule: ribosomal RNA, 545 nt
Filed under: Lodderomyces elongisporus
Lineage: Eukaryota; Fungi; Ascomycota; Pichiomycetes; Serinales; Debaryomycetaceae
Description: partial large subunit ribosomal RNA
Rfam family: Eukaryotic large subunit ribosomal RNA
Source: RNAcentral